GGGGGCGACAUGGCUUCGACGCUGAUGACAACCCCUUAGGUGCAUGCCGAGAGCGUGAUGUAUCUCGUAAAUCCAACAUCACAAUUGAAUAGUCGCAAACGACGAAAACUACGCUCAGGGCGCUCUGGCAGCUUAAACCCCUGCCCGUCCUACCCAGAAGCAACGCGCCUGGUCGUUGCCGAUGGGACAUGAGCUCGUAUAGCCAGGAUCGCGUUUGGUUCUGUUCUCGCGCCAGACGUUAAACUUUAGAGAAAUCGCACGCUGGAAUCCUGCCCGUUGGAGUCCAGAGUGUUAAAUCAAAUAACGGAACUAAGCAUGUAGAGCCGAUGGGCGAGUGUCGGCGGACGCGGGUUCGAUCCCCGCCGCCUCCACCA
RNAcentral lists this transfer-messenger RNA (374 nucleotides) under Halomonas cupida. RNAcentral's name for it is "Standard tmRNA". It matches the Rfam family "transfer-messenger RNA". Rfam says of the family: Bacterial tmRNA, also known as 10Sa RNA or SsrA, is named for its dual tRNA and mRNA-like properties. Lineage: Bacteria; Pseudomonadati; Pseudomonadota; Gammaproteobacteria; Oceanospirillales; Halomonadaceae. The record is from RNAcentral.